RNAcentral lists this ribosomal RNA (529 nucleotides) under uncultured deep-sea bacterium. RNAcentral describes it as "bacterial SSU rRNA". It matches the Rfam family "Bacterial small subunit ribosomal RNA", at positions 8 to 510 of the family's 1533-position model. The record is from RNAcentral.
AGAGUUUGAUCCUGGCUCAGGACGAACGCUGGCGGCGUGCUUAAUACAUGCAAGUCGAACGAGGGCCCGGAGCUUGCUCCGGUGACCCGAGUGGCGGACGGGUGAGUAACACGUGACCAACCUACCUUCGGGAGGGGGACAACCUGGGGAAACCUGGGCUAAUACCGCAUAUCGUCCACGGGCCGCAUGGCCUGUGGAUAAAAGGGAGCCUCUGCUUGCAAGCUUUCACCCGAAGAGGGGGUCGCGGCGUAUCAGCUAGUUGGUGGGGUAACGGCCUACCAAGGCAUCGACGCGUAGCGGGUCUGAGAGGACGACCCGUCACAUUGGGACUGAGAUACGGCCCAGACUCCUACGGGAGGCAGCAGUAGGGAAUAUUGCGCAAUGGCCGAAAGGUUGACGCAGCGACGCCGCGUGUGGGAGGACGCCCUUCGGGGUGUAAACCACUGUCAGGGGGGAAGAACUUCGCAGGUGUUAAUAGCGCUUGCGGUUGACGGUACCCCCAGAGGAAGCGCCGGCUAACUCCGUGCCC